GGGAUCGUAGCUCAGUUGGGAGAGCGCCUGCUUCGCAUGUAGGAGGUCGAGGGUUCAAGUCCCUUCGGUUCCA
Molecule: transfer RNA, 73 nt
Filed under: Lachnospiraceae bacterium
Lineage: Bacteria; Bacillati; Bacillota; Clostridia; Lachnospirales; Lachnospiraceae
Also listed under: 2 other names
Description: tRNA-Ala
Rfam family: tRNA
About the family: Transfer RNA (tRNA) molecules are approximately 80 nucleotides in length. Their secondary structure includes four short double-helical elements and three loops (D, anti-codon, and T loops).
Source: RNAcentral